Molecule: non-coding RNA, 27 nt
Filed under: Mus musculus (house mouse)
Lineage: Eukaryota; Metazoa; Chordata; Mammalia; Rodentia; Muridae
Source: RNAcentral
UGUCAUGACCUUGAAUGACCCCUUCUU